GCAGAUCUUUCCAUGGAGUAAAGAAGGGGAUGCAAAUGUGGAUAUUUUCGUCUGAGAUCAAUAUUUCUCCUCCAGCUAUGGAGGAAGAGAACACCCAGUCUCUAUAGGAUGCUGUGUUGGGGAUCAUUGGAUUACAUAGCAGUUUAAGUCAUCUGAGGGGCUAAGUCUCAUUCUGCUAACAGAUGAAGAAAGCAUAGACAAUUAUCUGGAGAAGAACAAGUUUUGUCAACUGGGACAGUGCAAAACUGGUCCUAGGCUGCAAUCUGGACGGAACUGGAAGAGAUGAGGUAUGAAAGAUGUCACCUGCUGCCUUUUGAAUCCUGCAUUGUUUCCCAUAAAACCCACACUGAAGUGUUUGAGCACCCACCCCACAACGAGAUGGUGACACCUCUUGCAUGUACUACAUAAGCAGCUAAACAACUUUAACAGUUCAAAAAGCAGG
This 442-nucleotide long non-coding RNA is filed under the name Pogona vitticeps (central bearded dragon). RNAcentral's name for it is "lncRNA (ENSPVIG00000019378.1)". Lineage: Eukaryota; Metazoa; Chordata; Lepidosauria; Squamata; Agamidae. The record is from RNAcentral.